AAGUCGUAACAAGGUUUCCGUAGGUGAACCUGCGGAAGGAUCAUUAACGAAUAACUAUGGCGUUGGUUGUAGCUGGCUCCUCGGAGCAAUGUGCACGCCCGCCAUUUUUAUCUUUCCACCUGUGCACCGACUGUAGGUCUGGAUACCUCUCGCCUCUGGGCGGAUGCGAGGGUUGCUCGUAAGGGCUUCCCUUGAACUUCCAGGCUCUACGUCUUUUUACACACCCCAAUAGUAUGAUGCAGAAUGUAGUCAAUGGGCUUCUCAGCCUAUAAAACACUAUACAACUUUCAGCAACGGAUCUCUUGGCUCUC
This 311-nucleotide unclassified non-coding RNA is filed under the name Coprinellus xanthothrix. RNAcentral describes it as "partial internal transcribed spacer region". The stretch from base 1 to 46 matches the Rfam family "Eukaryotic small subunit ribosomal RNA", at positions 1786 to 1831 of the family's 1831-position model. The record is from RNAcentral. Lineage: Eukaryota; Fungi; Basidiomycota; Agaricomycetes; Agaricales; Psathyrellaceae.